GCAGAGUGAUAUUUUGCCAAUGUUUUAAUUUUUAUAACUUUUGCAAGAAAAAAAAAGAUCCUCAUUAGCAAGAAUGAGCAUAUUUGUAAAGAGGGAAGAAAGAAAAACAGAAGCUCUGGUAACAGCUCCAAGGCAUCCAAAGACAUGUCCACUGGGAACAUAUAAUGCACUACAUCUGGGUAGGAAAGUAUUUUAAGACCCUGUUAUUUACUGUAUGUUUAUACCAUCAAGUAUGAGAAUACAAAUAUUUAUGCAGGCUACAACAAACUUCCUACAAGUUGGGCAUGUCAGCUGAAUUUUACUUUAACUUUUAGAAAUACAGUAGCUAAUAUCUGUAGCAAGUUGUUAGUUUAAGUGAGAGAUUCAGGUGCCUGAAGAGGCAUCUGGUGUCAUGCAGAGGCUAGCAGGUGUGAAAAGACCAAAAGAAAGCUGAAAACUUUCUUCACAUUGCCAGCUGGAGGCCAGGUGGGAAACUACAAGGAGGUGAUAGACAGAAAAUUAACUUUACCACGGGAGCCUCUCCAAGGUGAGCCAACUUUGCAUCUAUCACGUUUCCAUCUUUCUCCAGUUGUACUUCAAUAUAAAACAUGUCUGAUGUUAUGUAGCAGGUAGUCCCACUGGGGCUAACAUAAGAGUUAAGCCUAAGGAGAGAGUUAAAAAAAAGUUUGUGUAUCUAAAAGUUCUGUCACAUGGAGAAAGGAAAUGAGCAUAGUUUACUUCGUCAUGGGAAGAGACACCAGGGAUGCUUCAAAAAUAACUCUUCCUUGGCUCAGUUUCUAAAAACUAUCCAAGCAGACAAUAUAACCUUGCUCUGUUCUUUGCAUUAUUAUGUCAGUUUGCUGAAAACCAUUUACUUCAGUCUGCUGCUUUGGGACCUAGACGUGAAUGCCCUCUCUUCACCCAGCAACCUCCUCCACAACAAGCUAAUCAAAAGCAGCAGCUAUGUCCACUCCAGCUGUGUCACCAGUCAUGCUGCAGUGCCUGAGAUAGUCACAUAAGAUGUAAAGGAGAUUACAGAGAAAGCUAUGCGUGGACCUGGGAAUCGCAGGAGAGUUGCAAGGUGUCUGCAAAAAAGAAGGCGUUUGUUUACAAACAGAAGAGUGUCAAACAUACAUGUAUAACAUGUUGUCAAUGCAGCUGAAAGAAUUAACUAUUUUAGUAUUUCAGUUUUUACAAAGGAGGCUGUUGUCGACGGAGGGAAGACACAGACGCUCAAUAUGAGUGAUCAGUGAAUUUCAUUUUAUUGCCCGAAUAGCCUAGCUUUUAUAGUGAAUUUGACAGAGGCGUACAGUGUUUCACACAAGAUCAUUGGACAAAAGCACUCAGACAAACAACUAUAAGAAAACAAUCCCACCUGCAAGAAAAGAACCCCCCUUGUGAUUAGCA
Molecule: long non-coding RNA, 1386 nt
Filed under: Cairina moschata (Muscovy duck)
Lineage: Eukaryota; Metazoa; Chordata; Aves; Anseriformes; Anatidae
Description: domestica (muscovy Duck (domestic type)) lncRNA (ENSCMMG00000001594.1)
Source: RNAcentral